RNAcentral lists this unclassified non-coding RNA (380 nucleotides) under soil metagenome. RNAcentral's name for it is "partial contains 5.8S ribosomal RNA, internal transcribed spacer 2, and large subunit ribosomal RNA". The stretch from base 1 to 120 matches the Rfam family "5.8S ribosomal RNA", at positions 35 to 154 of the family's 154-position model. The record is from RNAcentral.
GAUGAAGAACGAAGCGAAAUGCGAUAAGUAAUGUGAAUUGCAGAAUUCAGUGAAUCAUCGAAUCUUUGAACGCACCUUGCACCCUUUGGCAUUCUGAAGGGUAUGCUCGUUUGAGUGUCAUUGUACUCUCACACUCCCGAUCCUUGCAUUGGGAGCAGUGGACUUGGGUUUGCUGCUUCACCGUCGCUUACCUCAAAUAGGUUAGUGCAACUCUUGGUUGGACAUAGUACGGCGUGAUAAGUGUUCUUCGCCGGUGGCUCGCAAAGAGGGUGGCCGAUCGGGAUGUUGUGCUCCAAACCGUCUUCGGACAAUCUCUGACGACUUGACCUCAAAUCGAGUAAGACUACCCGCUGAACUUAAGCAUAUCAAUAAGCGGAGGA